GGGUUGUGAGGUUAAGCGACUAAGCGUACACGGUGGAUGCCCUGGCAGUCAGAGGCGAUGAAGGACGUGCUAAUCUGCGAUAAGCGUCGGUAAGGUGAUAUGAACCGUUAUAACCGGCGAUUUCCGAAUGGGGAAACCCAGUGUGAUUCGUCACACUAUCAUUAACUGAAUCCAUAGGUUAAUGAGGCGAACCGGGGGAACUGAAACAUCUAAGUACCCCGAGGAAAAGAAAUCAACCGAGAUUCCCCCAGUAGC
Molecule: ribosomal RNA, 255 nt
Filed under: Escherichia coli
Lineage: Bacteria; Pseudomonadati; Pseudomonadota; Gammaproteobacteria; Enterobacterales; Enterobacteriaceae
Description: partial 23S ribosomal RNA
Rfam family: Bacterial large subunit ribosomal RNA
Source: RNAcentral